CUCGGGGUGCACCUCACUCCACGGCAAACCCACAGGUCUCCUCCACCGCUGUCAGCAGCUUCUCAUAGAGCUUCUCGUACGACUCGUAGGGAGGGAUGUCGAUCCGGUUAAAGCUGGAAAAGGACAGAGAGGACCAAGCCUGCUGGACACAGACCCUGGAUCCUCACGUGUGGAGACCCACCCCCUCAGAUGUCGUGGCCAGCGUGGGACCCCCAGCCCCGGUUCCCAGCCAGGAACCUCCCCCCACGUCACCAUGCGUCCCGGCAGCGUCUGGAACAGGUUCUGGUCAACCGGAGGGACACUCCAUGCGUGGUUCACCAGGGUGAGUGAGUGACUGGAUUUUAAACCACAAAGGAAAUAAGCCCACUGCAGGUACUGUUUAAGUGAAGACUGAGGGAGGAAACAUUUUUCAGCACGUCUGUCACAGGCAGAGUUCCAAGAAGGGAGAGACCAGUGACUUCAACUUACACCUGCAGUGCUCCCUCCGGACAGCGCCUGUGUGGGCACGCACACGGCCACGUGCGGCCACACAUACACACACACGGGGAGCAGCUCCGGGGUCAGUGCGCCUGACAGAGCCGCGUGCUGACCCUGCCGCGGGCGUGGUCCUUACCAGGUGUGGGCCUUGGGCAGGUUGUCCGUGUUGGCGUCGAUCAGGUGGAUGGUGAAGAGCCGGGGCCCUGCGGCGCCUGUAGAGCCUUACAAGACAACAGUCUAGUUAACACGCUUCAGAGGUGGGGCCCGGGACCUCUGCCACCACCUGGGGCCCCCUGCCAGAGGGGGUCGGGGUUCACAUAGCCCUGGGAGCUCUGCGUGGUCUCGGGAGUUGCACAUGAUGGCCACGGAGUGACUAACAUCAGACGUUCUAAAAAAUUCACGGGCGCAGGAAGAGCAAAGCCCGAGCUCUCCUCUCACAGCCGACCAUGAGCCUGCCCCAGGGCAGGUUUCUGAAAGCAGAAUCCUUCAGUCACCAGGAAUUUGUUUUUAAAAAAAAAAAAAAAAACCCAGGAAUGUCUAGCAGGCAGACCCCCUGUUGGCAGCGGAUGGCAGCGUCACAAGAAAAGCAGGUUUUAGAGUCACGAAACCCCCUGUGCAGAGGCCGACAGGAAGAAAGACACGAACGCCAGGACCAAAGCCCCAGGACAGGAGGGAACUUCUCUCAGUCCAGGAGGGCCUCAGGCUAAGGACGAGGCUACAGGGAACGUUCCAGUGAAACCUGCCUGCUCUCUCUAGGAACACGUGAAGUCCAUUUACUAAGUUUUAAGGUACUAAUAUUCUCAACCUUACUUCUGCGAGCUCUCAGGGUUAUCAAGUGACAAAACCCCCAGAUUUACCAUCAGAGCCGGGAAGAGGCCCUUCCCGGACAGAGGCACCGACCACAAGCCCUGCGGCCCCUCCUGAACUCAACCGGCCCCCAGGUGAGCCGGAAGGAACACCCGGGAGGACGGCUCCUCACUGGACCAGGCAGCCGACCAGGCGGGCCCCAGCGGACGAGGGGACUGAGAGCCCGGCCCGCACAGCGCACUCGGGAGACUCAGAAUUAACCCGAGUGCGCUUUUAAAGCUGCUUUCCUCCCCCCAAGCCAUCCACGCUGUUGGGCGAGGGGAGCCCACGCCCUACCCCGGCUCCCCUGGCCUUUCUGGCGGGAUCGUUCCUGGUCCAGCCCCGUGGGGCACCAGGCUGGCCGGCCAGCAUCCGCCGCUGCGGGCCCACGGGCUGAGACAGCCCGAGCAAGCGGCGUGGAGGAUGCAUGCCGCUGACACGGGCUCCUACUGCUCACAGGCGUUUCUCACCCUGGGGGCGGCAGUGGGGACAGAAGAGAUCUUGGGCCAAGCGAAAGACCCGAUGCCAGGAGACACCCCCGGCCGCCCGGCCGCCACUGCAGUCACCUUGCAGCGCCUUGAAGCCCUGGAGGGGGACCCGCGUGGAGCCCGUCACGAACUGCAGCAGCCGGGCCCGCCGCUCCUCGUCGAAGGUCUCCACCGCCUGCCAGAACCACCGGACCACAUUGCUGUCGGCCCCGCAGUGCUUCAGCCGCGUGUUGGACUUCCAGUCGUCCAGGUCGAUCUUGUCCAGGCCACCGAUGAUCAGCUGCGGGGCAUGAAGGUGGGUCACUUCCUGGACACGCAACGCGACGCGCCGCCCAGGCUCCCAGGCCGUGGAGAGACCGACCAACCACGCCCCAGUCAACCAGGCAAUGUUCAGACAAGGGGACACCCCCCCCAACACACACAGCCAGCCUGAGGCCCCCGUCUGUCUCUGCACUUCCAGGGCGUAGGGUGGCUGCGGACGUGACGUUUCCCCACAACUGAAUGCGUGCGUGUGCGUGGGCAUGCACGGAGGAGCCAGGCCCCAGGGCCAGCGGGGCCGCCUCCCAGGACCUCUUGGGGACACGUGGGGUGUAAAGUGUGACUCCCCCACCCCGGGGGGGCACGCGCACUCUGGCACCACACCAGGGCAGAAGGUUGGGGGUACUGUGAAAGGCCCGAGCUACGUGGUGCCGGGGUGGACAAGAUGUGAGUGGAAGAUGGAUGAGAAAGGACAGUAACACUCCAUCUUGGGCCUGAUAACAGCCGGAAUCAAAGUCGAGCAGCUGGCUAGCAUGGGAGCAGCUGGCUAUGGUCACAUCCUCGGUGUAAGGUGACCCCUCGGGAGGAGGCACUGGGGGAGCUCUACGCUGGAGGUCUCUAAGUCAGGGGGAGCCUGAUGGAUGAGCUGGACUCCGGGCCUCGUCGUCCCUGCUCAGGGCUCCCCGACGCCCCUGUCCCCCCACCCUGUCUUUGCUCCUGCAGCCAGCCCAGGAGGCAGCCCACCCCGCACACAGCAGCCCCUCGCACCCCAGCCCCGCACGGCCCACCUCCAGCUCCUUCUGGUCAAAAGGCUUCAGCAAGUGCUGAGGGAUGAGCUCGUUGAACCCCUUCUGGAGAGCCAGGAACUGGGCCUCGAUGCCCCUCAUGAACCUCCAGUUCACAUACAGCCUGAGAGGGAAAGGCACACGUUGGAAGCAGCAGCACUCCGCUCAUGAACAUCUUUCCUCGGUCAGCCCUCCACUCAGAGCUCCCACUGCUGACACCACCGCUUUCUGGAAGUCUCUGCUGUGAUUCUGGUCCAAGUGCAGGCAGGGACGGGAGGCUCACGCAGCAGAGGAGCCUCGACCAUCUCACCGUGACCGCUGCCCACCGUCCCAGGAUUCCCCAGAACCCUACCUACCGGACAUAUUCCUUCUUAUUCUCCUCUGUGACGGGGACAUUCCUGCCGUUGGGUUUCAGUUCGUGCUGAAGAAUCCGCCCAAAAGCGUUGUGCUCUACACAGAACGUGUGGUCGAGCACGGGGGUGAUGUCGUUCUCUCUGGGGAGGGAGCACAGAGGCGGAGGUCAGGGCGGCCUCAGCCGCCAUGAGGCGGCGGUCCUGCGGGCAGAGGCCCGGCUCCCCCCUCAAGAGGAGGGUGACGGGAGCGACACUGCUGGGGCUUCAGGAGACACGGCGCCUGGGUCUCUGAGCAGACGGGAGGGAGCAUGAUGGGGAAGCGGAGUCAAGGGGCAGAAGAUGUCACUGCACUGCCUCCAGGCAGCCUUUCCCAGGGCUUCAGAAGCCCUUGAAAGUUAGAACUGGCUCCUUUGUCCACCAUGUUUCUGGAAACACAGCUGGGGCACAUGGAAGGAGGCGGAUGGAAUGCAGGACACAGUUGAGAGCUGGACCUCCCCUUCCUGUGAAAUCAGCCCAUUCACGAGGACCCCCGACACCCACAGUGAUUGCGUAGCUUUUUGUGCCUUUUUUGGGCCUGUUGCUUUUAAGAGUUUUAGGAUAAUCCUAUAACAAAGGCGACUGAAUAUCUGGACUUUUUUUUAUAUCCUUCCGGUCCCUCUAGGGGCUUCCCUGGUGGCUCAGCUGGUGAAGAAUCCGCCUGCAAUGUGGGAGACCCAGGUUCGAUCCCUGGGUUGGGAAGAUCCCCUAGAGAAGGAAAAGGCUACCCACUCCAGUAUUCUGGCCUGGAGAACUCCAUGGACUGUAUAGUCCAUGGGGUCGCAAAGAGUCGGAUAUGACUGACCGACUCAGUUCACUUCACUUGGUCCCUCUAGAGAUCAGGAGACACCUCAGAGUGUUAAAAAAACAAACCAGCAGGCCUGGGGAUUAACAGCCACAAUCGUAACCUAAUAAUUCAAGGAAACAACAAAAGAAACUAGUCCAUGAAGAGAAGCUGCUCAGACAGUAUAUGAAAUAGUAAGUCAAUUAAAUAUCUUUGUCAGAUCGA
This is a long non-coding RNA of Cervus elaphus (red deer), 4252 nucleotides long. RefSeq lists it as uncharacterized. The transcript is spliced from 3 exons. NCBI's taxonomy places the organism in Eukaryota, Metazoa, Chordata, Mammalia, Artiodactyla, Cervidae. The record is from RefSeq and is a predicted model, not a curated record.